This 253-nucleotide ribosomal RNA is filed under the name uncultured bacterium. RNAcentral describes it as "partial 16S ribosomal RNA". It matches the Rfam family "Bacterial small subunit ribosomal RNA", at positions 524 to 777 of the family's 1533-position model. The record is from RNAcentral.
UACGAAGGGGCUAGCGUUGCUCGGAAUGACUGGGCGUAAAGCGCACGUAGGCGGUUCGUUAAGUCGGAUGUGAAAGCCCUCGGCUCAACUGAGGAAGUGCACCCGAAACUGGCGAGCUUGAGUACGAAAGAGGAUCGCGGAAUUCCCGGUGUAGAGGUGAAAUUCGUAGAUAUCGGGAGGAACACCGGUGGCGAAGGCGGCGAUCUGGGUCGAUACUGACGCUGAGGUGCGAAAGCGUGGGGAGCAAACAGGG